AUACGACCAUACCCACUGGAGAAGUCGGGAUCCCGUCCGCUCUCCCAUAGAUAAGCCAGUGAGGGCCGGAUUAGUAGUUGGGUCGGUGACGACCAGCGAAUACCUGGUGUUGUAUG
Molecule: ribosomal RNA, 116 nt
Filed under: Colletotrichum higginsianum
Lineage: Eukaryota; Fungi; Ascomycota; Sordariomycetes; Glomerellales; Glomerellaceae
Source: RNAcentral